RNAcentral lists this ribosomal RNA (2773 nucleotides) under Escherichia coli. Its description in RNAcentral is "bacterial LSU rRNA". It matches the Rfam family "Bacterial large subunit ribosomal RNA". RNAcentral also lists the same sequence under 1 other name. Lineage: Bacteria; Pseudomonadati; Pseudomonadota; Gammaproteobacteria; Enterobacterales; Enterobacteriaceae. The record is from RNAcentral.
AGCGUACACGGUGGAUGCCCUGGCAGUCAGAGGCGAUGAAGGACGUGCUAAUCUGCGAUAAGCGUCGGUAAGGUGAUAUGAACCGUUAUAACCGGCGAUUUCCGAAUGGGGAAACCCAGUGUGUUUCGACACACUAUCAUUAACUGAAUCCAUAGGUUAAUGAGGCGAACCGGGGGAACUGAAACAUCUAAGUACCCCGAGGAAAAGAAAUCAACCGAGAUUCCCCCAGUAGCGGCGAGCGAACGGGGAGCAGCCCAGAGCCUGAAUCAGUGUGUGUGUUAGUGGAAGCGUCUGGAAAGGCGCGCGAUACAGGGUGACAGCCCCGUACACAAAAAUGCACAUGCUGUGAGCUCGAUGAGUAGGGCGGGACACGUGGUAUCCUGUCUGAAUAUGGGGGGACCAUCCUCCAAGGCUAAAUACUCCUGACUGACCGAUAGUGAACCAGUACCGUGAGGGAAAGGCGAAAAGAACCCCGGCGAGGGGAGUGAAAAAGAACCUGAAACCGUGUACGUACAAGCAGUGGGAGCACGCUUAGGCGUGUGACUGCGUACCUUUUGUAUAAUGGGUCAGCGACUUAUAUUCUGUAGCAAGGUUAACCGAAUAGGGGAGCCGAAGGGAAACCGAGUCUUAACUGGGCGUUAAGUUGCAGGGUAUAGACCCGAAACCCGGUGAUCUAGCCAUGGGCAGGUUGAAGGUUGGGUAACACUAACUGGAGGACCGAACCGACUAAUGUUGAAAAAUUAGCGGAUGACUUGUGGCUGGGGGUGAAAGGCCAAUCAAACCGGGAGAUAGCUGGUUCUCCCCGAAAGCUAUUUAGGUAGCGCCUCGUGAAUUCAUCUCCGGGGGUAGAGCACUGUUUCGGCAAGGGGGUCAUCCCGACUUACCAACCCGAUGCAAACUGCGAAUACCGGAGAAUGUUAUCACGGGAGACACACGGCGGGUGCUAACGUCCGUCGUGAAGAGGGAAACAACCCAGACCGCCAGCUAAGGUCCCAAAGUCAUGGUUAAGUGGGAAACGAUGUGGGAAGGCCCAGACAGCCAGGAUGUUGGCUUAGAAGCAGCCAUCAUUUAAAGAAAGCGUAAUAGCUCACUGGUCGAGUCGGCCUGCGCGGAAGAUGUAACGGGGCUAAACCAUGCACCGAAGCUGCGGCAGCGACGCUGAUGCGUUGUUGGGUAGGGGAGCGUUCUGUAAGCCUGCGAAGGUGUGCUGUGAGGCAUGCUGGAGGUAUCAGAAGUGCGAAUGCUGACAUAAGUAACGAUAAAGCGGGUGAAAAGCCCGCUCGCCGGAAGACCAAGGGUUCCUGUCCAACGUUAAUCGGGGCAGGGUGAGUCGACCCCUAAGGCGAGGCCGAAAGGCGUAGUCGAUGGGAAACAGGUUAAUAUUCCUGUACUUGGUGUUACUGCGAAGGGGGGACGGAGAAGGCUAUGUUGGCCGGGCGACGGUUGUCCCGGUUUAAGCGUGUAGGCUGGUUUUCCAGGCAAAUCCGGAAAAUCAAGGCUGAGGCGUGAUGACGAGGCACUACGGUGCUGAAGCAACAAAUGCCCUGCUUCCAGGAAAAGCCUCUAAGCAUCAGGUAACAUCAAAUCGUACCCCAAACCGACACAGGUGGUCAGGUAGAGAAUACCAAGGCGCUUGAGAGAACUCGGGUGAAGGAACUAGGCAAAAUGGUGCCGUAACUUCGGGAGAAGGCACGCUGAUAUGUAGGUGAAGUCCCUCGCGGAUGGAGCUGAAAUCAGUCGAAGAUACCAGCUGGCUGCAACUGUUUAUUAAAAACACAGCACUGUGCAAACACGAAAGUGGACGUAUACGGUGUGACGCCUGCCCGGUGCCGGAAGGUUAAUUGAUGGGGUUAGCGCAAGCGAAGCUCUUGAUCGAAGCCCCGGUAAACGGCGGCCGUAACUAUAACGGUCCUAAGGUAGCGAAAUUCCUUGUCGGGUAAGUUCCGACCUGCACGAAUGGCGUAAUGAUGGCCAGGCUGUCUCCACCCGAGACUCAGUGAAAUUGAACUCGCUGUGAAGAUGCAGUGUACCCGCGGCAAGACGGAAAGACCCCGUGAACCUUUACUAUAGCUUGACACUGAACAUUGAGCCUUGAUGUGUAGGAUAGGUGGGAGGCUUUGAAGUGUGGACGCCAGUCUGCAUGGAGCCGACCUUGAAAUACCACCCUUUAAUGUUUGAUGUUCUAACGUUGACCCGUAAUCCGGGUUGCGGACAGUGUCUGGUGGGUAGUUUGACUGGGGCGGUCUCCUCCUAAAGAGUAACGGAGGAGCACGAAGGUUGGCUAAUCCUGGUCGGACAUCAGGAGGUUAGUGCAAUGGCAUAAGCCAGCUUGACUGCGAGCGUGACGGCGCGAGCAGGUGCGAAAGCAGGUCAUAGUGAUCCGGUGGUUCUGAAUGGAAGGGCCAUCGCUCAACGGAUAAAAGGUACUCCGGGGAUAACAGGCUGAUACCGCCCAAGAGUUCAUAUCGACGGCGGUGUUUGGCACCUCGAUGUCGGCUCAUCACAUCCUGGGGCUGAAGUAGGUCCCAAGGGUAUGGCUGUUCGCCAUUUAAAGUGGUACGCGAGCUGGGUUUAGAACGUCGUGAGACAGUUCGGUCCCUAUCUGCCGUGGGCGCUGGAGAACUGAGGGGGGCUGCUCCUAGUACGAGAGGACCGGAGUGGACGCAUCACUGGUGUUCGGGUUGUCAUGCCAAUGGCACUGCCCGGUAGCUAAAUGCGGAAGAGAUAAGUGCUGAAAGCAUCUAAGCACGAAACUUGCCCCGAGAUGAGUUCU